AUUGAACGCUGGCGGCAUGCCUUACACAUGCAAGUCGAACGGUAACGAGGGGCAACCUGGCGACGAGUGGCGAACGGGUGAGUAAUAUAUCGGAACGUGCCCAGUAGUGGGGGAUAGCCCGGCGAAAGCCGGAUUAAUACCGCAUACGACCUAAGGGGGAAAGGGGGGGAUCGCAAGACCUCUCGCUAUUGGAGCGGCCGAUAUCCGAUUAGCUAGUUGGUGGGGGAAAAGCCUACCAAGGCGACGAUCUGUAGCUGGUCUGAGAGGACGACCAGCCACAUGGGGACUGAGACACGGCCCAGACGCCUACGGGAGGCAGCAGUGGGGAAUUUUGGACAAUGGACGAAAGUCUGAUCCAGCCAUGCCGCGUGCGGGAAGAAGGCCUUCGGGUUGUAAACCGCUUUUGUCAGGGAAGAAAUCCCUUGAGAUAAUACCUCGGGGGGAUGACGGUACCUGAAGAAUAAGCACCGGCUAACUACGUGCCAGCCGCCGCAGUAA
RNAcentral lists this ribosomal RNA (498 nucleotides) under uncultured bacterium. RNAcentral describes it as "partial 16S ribosomal RNA". It matches the Rfam family "Bacterial small subunit ribosomal RNA", at positions 29 to 523 of the family's 1533-position model. The record is from RNAcentral.